This is a non-coding RNA of Drosophila mojavensis, 45 nucleotides long. The record is from Rfam. Lineage: Eukaryota; Metazoa; Arthropoda; Insecta; Diptera; Drosophilidae.
CAAUCGGUCCUUUUCAGGACCACCAAAAUAUUAAAAGAGCUUAAA